AGUGAACGCUGGCGGUAGGCCUAACACAUGCAAGUCGAACGGCAGCACAGUAAGAGCUUGCUCUUACGGGUGGCGAGUGGCGGACGGGUGAGGAAUACAUCGGAAUCUACUUUUUCGUGGGGGAUAACGUAGGAAAACUUACGCUAAUACCGCAUACGACCUACGGGUGAAAGCAGUGGAUCUUCGGACCUUGCGCGAUUGAAUUAGCCGAUGUCGGAUUAGCUAGUUGGCUGGGUAAAGGCCCACCAAGGCGACGAUCCGUAGCUGGUCUGAGAGGAUGAUCAGCCACACUGGAACUGAGACACGGUCCAGACUCCUACGGGAGGCAGCAGUGGGGAAUAUUGGACAAUGGGCGAAAGCCUGAUCCAGCCAUACCGCGUGGGUGAAGAAGGCCUUCGGGUUGUAAAGCCCUUUUGUUGGGAAAGAAAAGCAGCAGGUUAAUACCCCGCUGUUCUGACGGUACCCAAAGAAUAAGCACCGGCUAACUUCGUG
Molecule: ribosomal RNA, 492 nt
Filed under: uncultured bacterium
Lineage: Bacteria
Description: partial 16S ribosomal RNA
Rfam family: Bacterial small subunit ribosomal RNA
Source: RNAcentral